UUUCUUUUAUGGAGAGUUUGAUCCUGGCUCAGGACGAACGCUGGCGGCGUGCCUAAUACAUGCAAGUCGAGCGAACCAAUUGAAAGCCUAG
This 91-nucleotide ribosomal RNA is filed under the name Ureibacillus thermosphaericus. RNAcentral's name for it is "partial 16S ribosomal RNA". It matches the Rfam family "Bacterial small subunit ribosomal RNA", at positions 1 to 86 of the family's 1533-position model. The record is from RNAcentral. Lineage: Bacteria; Bacillati; Bacillota; Bacilli; Caryophanales; Caryophanaceae.